Molecule: ribosomal RNA, 471 nt
Filed under: uncultured bacterium
Lineage: Bacteria
Description: bacterial SSU rRNA
Rfam family: Bacterial small subunit ribosomal RNA
Source: RNAcentral
CUGCGCACUUCCUACGGAGGCAGCAGUGGGGAAUAUUGCACAAUGGGCGCAAGCCUGAUGCAGCCAUGCCGCGUGUAUGAAGAAGGCCUUCGGGUUGUAAAGUACUUUCAGCAGUGAGGAAGGUGGAUAUGUUAAUAGCAUAUUCAUUUGACGUUAGCUGCAGAAGAAGCACCGGCUAACUCCGUGCCAGCAGCCGCGGUAAUACGGAGGGUGCGAGCGUUAAUCGGAAUUACUGGGCGUAAAGCGCAUGCAGGUGGUUUGUUAAGUCAGAUGUGAAAGCCCGGGGCUCAACCUCGGAAUUGCAUUUGAAACUGGCAAACUAGAGUACUGUAGAGGGGGUAGAAUUUCAGGUGUAGCGGUGAAAUGCGUAGAGAUCUGAAGGAAUACCGGUGGCGAAGGCGGCCCCCUGGACAGAUACUGACACUCAGAUGCGAAAGCGUGGGGAGCAAACAGGAUUAGAUACCCUGGUAG